This 253-nucleotide ribosomal RNA is filed under the name uncultured bacterium. RNAcentral's name for it is "partial 16S ribosomal RNA". It matches the Rfam family "Bacterial small subunit ribosomal RNA", at positions 524 to 776 of the family's 1533-position model. The record is from RNAcentral.
UACGUAGGCAGCAAGCGUUGUUCGGAGUUACUGGGCGUAAAGGGUGUGUAGGCGGCCGUUUUAGUUUGGUGUGAAAUCUCCCGGCUCAACUGGGAGGGUGCGCCGAAUACUGAAUGACUAGAGUGUGGGAGAGGUGAGUGGAAUUCCUGGUGUAGCGGUGAAAUGCGUAGAUAUCAGGAGGAACACCGGUGGUGUAGACGGCUCACUGGACCAUAACUGACGCUGAGACACGAAAGCGUGGGUAGCAAACAGG